CCGCGGUUAUACGAGAGACCCUAGUUGAUAUAUACGGCGUAAAGAGUGGUUUGGGGAACACAUUAAAUAAAGCCGAAGGCCCCCCAAGCCGUCACACGCACUCCGGAGGCACGAAGCCCUAGUACGAAGGUAGCUUUAUAAAUACCCGACGCCACGAAAGCUAAGAAACA
Molecule: ribosomal RNA, 170 nt
Filed under: Psectrogaster amazonica
Lineage: Eukaryota; Metazoa; Chordata; Actinopteri; Characiformes; Curimatidae
Description: partial small subunit ribosomal RNA
Source: RNAcentral